RNAcentral lists this unclassified non-coding RNA (392 nucleotides) under Hevea brasiliensis (rubber tree). The record is from RNAcentral. Lineage: Eukaryota; Viridiplantae; Streptophyta; Magnoliopsida; Malpighiales; Euphorbiaceae.
AUAAGCGCUAGGGACGGAGAUAACACCGACCUCGGAACAAAGCUUGGACCAGUUCUUUCUGUCUCUUCGCUAAUCGCUCCUUUCUUUCCAGUAGAGAGAGAAGCCCAUAGAUGAUGAUCUAGCUCAUUCGCGUACACUGCUUAUUAUAUAUAUAUAUGUGUGUGUUAGAUGAGUGUGUGAAUGAGAACCCAGCCUUCGUUGCUCUCCCUGGCAAUAGACACUGCUGUUCUUCAUCUUUCUCACUUCUCCGAUCUCUCAUCCCUUCCUGAUCACAUCCUCCUCGAUCUCCUUGGGGUGCACUUGAUAGAUUAUUUGGAGAUGGACCCUGGGGUAGGUGAUGGUGUAAGGCCUUAGACGUUGAUAAGAGAACUUUGAAAGCUGGAAAGCUGAAU